Molecule: non-coding RNA, 330 nt
Organism: Pseudonaja textilis
Lineage: Eukaryota; Metazoa; Chordata; Lepidosauria; Squamata; Elapidae
Source: RefSeq, a predicted model, not a curated record
AACAGAAUGAUCCCUUUUUUAAUUUAAAAGCCAACAAGAAUUUCAGGCUGUGGGACAACUGUACUCUUAUUUCCAACACUGUUCCUGAAUUGAUAAGGUUGACAGAUAGACCGGAAUGAAGCUGCAGUGGGUUUGGCUGAACACAGCCGCCGUCUAAGCUGCUUAUUCCCGAGCUACAGCUUAGUUUGUACCCAAGAGGAAAAAACGAAGAAAUGUUACAUUCCUUGUGGUUCAACAACUUGAAAAACAAGUAUUACAUGUAUUUUAAACUAGCUCACUCUGUGGAUGUCCUUGAACUUUGAUGUUUAUUGCCACUGACCAUGGGCUCUG